GACGUAGGUGGCGAACGUUAUCCGGAAUUAUUGGGCGUAAAGGGUGCGUAGGUGGCCUGACAAGUUAUCAGUGGCAAAUCGAGGCUCAACUUCGUGGAAACUGGUAAUACUGUUCGGCUUGAGUACAGGAGAGGUUAACGGAACUCCAUGUGUAGCGGUAAAAUGCGACGAUAUAUGGAUGAACACCAAUAAAGGCGAAGGCAGUUAACUAUUCUGUUGCUGACACUGAGGCACGAAAGCGUGGGGAGCAAAACGG
This 256-nucleotide ribosomal RNA is filed under the name uncultured bacterium. RNAcentral's name for it is "partial 16S ribosomal RNA". It matches the Rfam family "Bacterial small subunit ribosomal RNA", at positions 524 to 776 of the family's 1533-position model. The record is from RNAcentral.